UACGUAGGCAGCGAGCGUUGUUCGGAAUUACUGGGCGUAAAGAGUGUGUAGGCGGUGCUCUAAGUUCGGUGUGAAAUCUCCCGGCUUAACUGGGAGGGUGCGCCGGAAACUGGAGUGCUCGAGCGUGGGAGAGGAAAGCGGAAUUCCUGGUGUAGCGGUGAAAUGCGUAGAUAUCAGGAGGAACACCUGCGGUGUAGACGGCUUUCUGGACCGUAACUGACGCUGAUGCACGAAAGCGUGGGUAGCAAACAGG
This 253-nucleotide ribosomal RNA is filed under the name uncultured bacterium. RNAcentral's name for it is "partial 16S ribosomal RNA". It matches the Rfam family "Bacterial small subunit ribosomal RNA", at positions 524 to 776 of the family's 1533-position model. The record is from RNAcentral.